Molecule: transfer RNA, 67 nt
Filed under: Loxodonta africana (African savanna elephant)
Lineage: Eukaryota; Metazoa; Chordata; Mammalia; Proboscidea; Elephantidae
Rfam family: tRNA
About the family: Transfer RNA (tRNA) molecules are approximately 80 nucleotides in length. Their secondary structure includes four short double-helical elements and three loops (D, anti-codon, and T loops). Further hydrogen bonds mediate the characteristic L-shaped molecular structure. tRNAs have two regions of fundamental functional importance: the anti-codon, which is responsible for specific mRNA codon recognition, and the 3' end, to which the tRNAs corresponding amino acid is attached (by aminoacyl-tRNA synthetases). tRNAs cope with the degeneracy of the genetic code in two manners: having more than one tRNA (with a specific anti-codon) for a particular amino acid; and 'wobble' base-pairing, i.e. permitting non-standard base-pairing at the 3rd anti-codon position.
Source: Rfam by way of RNAcentral
ACAUUGAUGGUUUAGUGGUAGAAUUCUCACCUUCCAUGAGUCCUGGGUUCAAUUCCUGGCCAGUGUA